UAGUCAGAGUCUCCUGUUAUUCUAGGGCUUA
RNAcentral lists this non-coding RNA (31 nucleotides) under Rattus norvegicus (Norway rat). The record is from RNAcentral. Lineage: Eukaryota; Metazoa; Chordata; Mammalia; Rodentia; Muridae.